GCGUGGAGCCAACCUUGAAAUACCACCCUUUAAUGUUUGAUGUUCUAACGUGGCCCCGUUAUCCGGGGUGCGGACAGUGUCUGGUGGGUAGUUUGACUGGGGCGGUCUCCUCCUAAAGCGUAACGGAGGAGCACGAAGGUCAGCUAAUCACGGUCGGACAUCGUGAGGUUAGUGCAAUGGCAUAAGCUGGCUUGACUGCGAGAGUGACGGCUCGAGCAGGUGCGAAAGCAGGUCAUAGUGAUCCGGUGGUUCUGAAUGGAAGGGCCAUCGCUCAACGGAUAAAAGGUACUCCGGGGAUAACAGGCUGAUACCGCCCAAGAGUUCAUAUCGACGGCGGUGUUUGGCACCUCGAUGUCGGCUCAUCACAUCCUGGGGCUGAAGUAGGUCCCAAGGGUACGGCUGUUCGCCGUUUAAAGUGGUACGCGAGCUGGGUUUAGAACGUCGUGAGACAGUUCGGUCCCUAUCUGCCGUGGGCGCUGGAGAAUUGAGGGGGGUUGCUCCUAGUACGAGAGGACCGGAGUGAACGCACCACUGGUGUUCGGGUUGUCAUGCCAAUGGCAUUGCCCGGUAGCUAAGUGCGGAAAAGAUAAGUGCUGAAAGCAUCUAAGCACGAAACUUGCCCCGAGAUGAGUUCUCCCUGACCCUUUAAGGGUCCUGAAGGGACGUUGAAGACGACGACGUUGAUAGGCCGGAUGUGUAAGCGCAGCGAUGCGUUGAGCUAACCGGUACUAAUGACCCGUGAGGCUUAACCUUACAACGCCAGAGGCGUUUUG
RNAcentral lists this ribosomal RNA (773 nucleotides) under Pantoea sp. 3.5.1. Its description in RNAcentral is "bacterial LSU rRNA". It matches the Rfam family "Bacterial large subunit ribosomal RNA", at positions 2178 to 2925 of the family's 2925-position model. The record is from RNAcentral. Lineage: Bacteria; Pseudomonadati; Pseudomonadota; Gammaproteobacteria; Enterobacterales; Erwiniaceae.